Molecule: ribosomal RNA, 254 nt
Filed under: uncultured bacterium
Lineage: Bacteria
Description: partial 16S ribosomal RNA
Rfam family: Bacterial small subunit ribosomal RNA
Source: RNAcentral
UACGGAGGGGGCUAGCGUUGUUCGGAAUUACUGGGCGUAAAGCGCGCGUAGGCGGACCUGCAAGUCGGGGGUGAAAGCCCGAGGCUCAACCUCGGAACUGCCUUCGAUACUGCGGGUCUCGAGUCCGGGAGAGGUGAGUGGAACUGCGAGUGUAGAGGUGAAAUUCGUAGAUAUUCGCAAGAACACCAGUGGCGAAGGCGGCUCACUGGCCCGGUACUGACGCUGAGGUGCGAAAGCGUGGGGAGCAAACAGGG